RNAcentral lists this long non-coding RNA (9329 nucleotides) under Citrus maxima (pomelo). RNAcentral's name for it is "long non-coding RNA (CMAX_LNC001416)". Lineage: Eukaryota; Viridiplantae; Streptophyta; Magnoliopsida; Sapindales; Rutaceae. The record is from RNAcentral.
UGGGAAUAAAGUUUCAUUCAUUCUCCUUUAAUUAAAUCAUUAGUCGAACUCUUACUUUUUAUUAAUUAUUUCUUAAACUUGAGUGACCACGGGUAUAAAGUGCAUUCAUGGCCAGUCAAACUAGACAUAUGGUCAGUUUUGAAUGUGUCCAUAUUUAGUAUUUUGAAAUAUUUUUCAUAUAUUGCAGGUAUGAUUGACUAACACACACAUCAAUAUCAACGAACAAUCUGAAUCUCUCAGCAAUGGAAUGGACUUCAAUUUCAUGGACUUCAAUUUCAUUUCAAUUUCAAUUUCAAUUUCAUAUUUUCUGGCUAGUCCCUUCCUUGGCUUGAUCUCCAAGCAACUUGACCAUGGCUACAACCCACAACUCAUUGCUAGGGCUGCAACUGCCAUCUGUCCCCUCUUUUGUCUCCCUGUUGGCUUCAUUAAAACCCCAUACAUCUUCCUAUUUUAUAUUGCAGCUAUUGUUGCAUUAUACAUUGUUGCUUCAGCCUCCCACACUCGCCAUCUUGGCCUUAUGGUUCGCCGCUACACUGGACGACCAACACUUAAACUCUGAAAAUUCCCUACUAGAAGAGGCGUCUCUGGCUGGUUCUCGGUAUACGCCACUGCUGCUGGUGGCUUAGGCUCUGCCAUUUUCUCUGCUUUCACUUACCAUAUGCUUAGGAACAAAAAUGACCCAUUUGAUAGCCUCUGGGUUGUGUCCAUUUUCAGUGGCCUCAAAUGGCUCGUUGGUAUGCUCCAUGUUGUCACACUAAGGCCAGUGGCAAUCACCAACACGACUUCCUCUGUGCCCAAAUCAUAUUUCCUGUCCCUUUUCAAAUAUCCUUAUGCGAUUGCAAGCCUAAUUGUGAUCUUCAUGUCAUCAUUUUCAUCCACGUGCAUUUUCACUGGGGGGUUAUUGUUUUUACUGGGUCAAUUGUGCCUUAAGCCAAUAUUCUUCCUCUACUUCUGGUUAAUUUACUUCAUCUUCCCAUCAUUUUCAAUGCCAUUACUGCAACCAUUACAGCAUGUUAUCAAAGCAGAUGCUGUGAGAAUGCAACUUCUAGGUUUCCUCUUAGCUCUGUUGACUUCAGGUAUGGGAUUCUACUACAAGGAAAAGAACUGGCAGAGGCACCAUGUACUGCUUUUUGCUGCCAUUCAAAGCACUUCUGCAGGGCUUUUGCAUGCUUUCGGGAGAGUUUUGUUGUUAGAUUGUACACCACAUGGCAAAGAAGGUGCUUUUUCUGUAUGGCACUCGUGGGUAAAAGCACUAGGAACUUGUACUGGCUUUGCUGUGGCAUCAGCGAUCAGGGGAAAUGUGAGCACUGCUUUUGGGGUUUCAUUUUUGGCUGCUACGAUCGAGAUUCUUAUUUUGAUUUUUGGGAACAUCAGUGAUGUUGGUGGAGCCAUGGCUGCUGGGCAUCUUUAUGAAGAUAGUGAGAAGGGAUCCCCAGUGCCUGGUUUAGAUACCAGCAUUAUUAUAAAGGAACAUGCUCAGCCUCACGAAGAAACUGCUUAAGUAAUGCAAGUGAACUUUCGCAAAUAGUCAAUUCUGUUAUCUUUUAUAAGUAAAUAACUAAGGCAUAUAUGAUUUUCAUUUUUUCAUCCUUUUUUAAUUUGGUUCUUUUUUUCUCUUUUGGUUGAAUAAGUAUAUCCCACAUUCUGUUAACUGUAAACAACUUCUUGUGUGCCUUUUACACUUUUAUUGGUCAUUGCUUUGAAUUAAUGUAAUAUUGAUUUAACUGAAAUGAUAAUUCUUUUUUUUUUUGUGACCUUAUCAUUUCCUAAACUCGUUUAAUUAACUGGCAUAUUAACUUAUGUGACAUUGGUAUAUAAAAUUCUAUCAAUAAAAUUGUAUGCACUAUAGCAAUACGCGUAAUGACACCAAUUUUUUUAUGCACAGGCAUUGCCUUCCAAGUGAGAGGCAAGGCCAGCUGGGCUGCAGGCUUAGGGUGCGUUUGAGAUUGAGGUGCUGUAGCUUUUAAGCUACAGCUGCUGUGAAAAAAAAGCUGUAAUUAUGAAACAAAAGUUAAUAAUAUAUAGUAAAUAUAAAUUUUAAAUAAUAAUUUUGAUAAAAUUAUUAAAGAUAUAAUAAAUUUUUUAUUAUACAAGUGAAAAAUCAUAUCAACAUAGCUUAAAAGUUACAGCAGCUAGUGUUUACCAAACACUUUAGUGCUGUAGCUUUUAAGCUACAGCUGCCCAACCUCAAUCCCAAACGCACCCUUAAUCACUGUUUUGUAAUCUGUAAAACGUUGAGAUCAAUAAUUCCCACGCGGAGGACAAAAGCAGCAAAAGAAAACUGCAUCUGUUGACUUUUGAAAAUAUUUCGAAGCCUUUGCCUCACUUGAAAUGCUUUGUGAACACAGGAAGUUGUAUAAAAAAUAUCUUUUCAUUGAAAAAAAUAAAAUAAACUAAUAAUAAUAUAACUUUUCUAAUAUUUUAAUGUGGAUAUCAAAAAAAUUAUAGGAAAAUAUCCACCGUCCACUUAUUUUUUCCAACUUUUUCAAAAAUACAUUUUUUUUUGCUGGAUUCCACCUAAAGUUAUAUUUUGUUUCACUUUUCCACUUCCGUUUGGAAUCCGUUAAGAAAACUAACGGAAACUUAAAAAAAUGAUAAUUUUACGUCCAAAAUGAAAAUUACAAUUUCACCCUAAAAAAUGCAAAAAAUAAUCAGAUUUAAUAAUAAAUAUCAUUAUUGGUAUGUUAGUGAAGUACAAAAAAAUCUUAACUACUAGAGAUUAUAACUCAAUGAAUAAUAAAACUCUACUUAUCUUAAAUUCAAUUGGUGGUUUACGAGAUUAGGCUAUUUUUAAUACUGCUGUUAUAAUUUAGCAUUCUAAUUACAGACAUAUUUUUUUUAAAAAAAACUACAUUUGAUGGUUGUAGAGUUAAUUUCUUUAUUGACCGAUGGAGAAAAUAAUCAGAGUUUGAAUAGUACGCUCUGACUGUCCAUCAGUCUGUGGAUGAAAAGCUGUACUGAAGUUCAACUUGGUGCCUAAGGCAUUUUGCUAGCUAGUCUAGAACUUAGAAGUAAACCGGGAAUCUCUAUUUGAGACUAUGGACACAGGUACUCCGUGAAGUCGAACUAUUUCAGCCACAUAAAUACUCCCCAACUUGUCCAUCGAGUAAGUGGUCUUGAAAGGUAAGAAAUGAGCAGAUUUUGUAAGUCGGUCAACAACCACCCAAACACCAUCAUGUCCUUUCUGAGUACGUGGAAGUCCCGCUACAAAAUCCAUGGUGAUGUGCUUCCACUUCCACUCAGGAAUAUGAUGCGGCUGAGAACACCCUGCAGGCCUCUGGUGUUCAGCUUUAAUCUGCUGACAGACUAAACAUCGAGAAACAAAUUUUGCUAUCUCUCUCUUCAUGCCCUGCCACCAGUAAUGAUCCCUUAGGGUACGAUCCAUCUUCGUACUACCAAGAUGCAUCGCAUAUGCUGAACAAUGAGCUUCUUCCAUAAUCUCUUCUUUCAGAUAUUUAAUACCAGGUACACAGAGUCUAUUACCCAUGACUAAGACACCCUCAUCUCUCACCAUAAAAUCGGUUCAUAAACUUUUCUGCACAUCAUCUUUCAACUUUAUUAAUUGUGGGUCUUGAUCUUGCAUCUGGUGAACUUUGUCAAUCAAAGUCGGCCUAACUCAAAAAUUAGCUAUCAAAGCUCCACGAUUGUCAGCGUUCAACUCGACUCCCAAAGAUCUCAACUCGAUCAACAGAGGCACAUAUUUCACUCGCAAGUGAGCUAUAGAGCUGUAAGACUUUCUACUUAGUGCAUCAGCUACCACAUUUGCUUUGCCCGGAUGAUAAUCGAUAGUGCAAUCGUAGUCCUUAAUCAGCUCGAUCCAUCUCCUCUGUCUCAAAUUCAACUCAUUCUGAGUAAACAAAUACUUCAAGCUCUUAUGAUCAGUGAAAAUUUGGCACGUUGCCCUAUAUAAGUAAUGUCGCCAUAUCUUGAGUGCAAACACCACUGCUGCGAGCUCUAAGUCAUGUGUUGGGUAGUUUCGUUCAUGCUCUUAAGUUGUGUAGAAGCAUAAGCCACCACUUUCCCAUGCUACAUCAAUACACAACCCAAUCCCUGCCUAGAGGCAUCGUUGUAAACCACAAAUCCUUCAUUACCAGAUGGAAGUGUAAGAACUGGUGCUGAGGUCAAACGUGUCUUAAGUUCUUGAAAACUCUUCUCAUAGUUAUCAUCCCACUGGAAUUUAGCAUUCUUUCUGGUUAACUGUGUCAGAGGAGUAGCAAUCUUGGAGAAUCCUUCCACAAAUCUACGAUAGUAACCGGCUAAUCCAAGAAAACUCCGAACCUCUAUGACAUUUGUAGGCCGUUCUCAUUUCACAACUGCUUCAAUCUUUUGAGGAUCAACAUAAAUGCCUUCAGCUGAUAUCACAUGGCCCAAAAAUACUACUCUAUCCAACCAGAACUUGCAUUUGCUAAACUUGGCAUACAAUUGCUUCUGUCUCAAAGUCUGUAAAAUAGUCCGCAAAUGCUCUGCAUGCACCUCCUCGCUUCGGGAAUACACUAAGAUAUCAUCAAUGAAUACAAUCACAAACAGAUCCAAGUACGGGCGAAAUACCAUGUUCAUCAGGUCCAUAAAAGCAGCUGGGGCAUUUGUCAACCUAAAUGGCAUCACUAAGAACUCAUAGUGCCCAUAACGGGUUCUAAAAGCUGUUUUAGGAACGUUGACAUCUUUAAUUCUAAGCUGAUGGUAACCCGAGCGCAAAUCGAUCUUAGAAAAUAUUUUUGCCCCUUGGAGUUGAUCAAACAAGUCAUCAAUACGCGGAAGUUGAUACUUAUUGCGUACCGUAACUUUAUUCAACUGUCUGUAGUCGAUGCAGAGUCUAAAAGUCCCAUCUUUUUUCUUAACAAACAAGACUGGAGCUUCCCACGAGGACACACUAGGUCUAAUAAACUCUUUCUCCACCAACUCUUGCAAUUGAACCUUCGGUUCCUUCAAUUCUGCUGGAGCCAUUCUGUACGGUGCCAUAGAUAUUGGAGAUGUUCCAGGGACUAAGUCAAUAGAAAACUCAACUUCUCUGUUAGGUGGCAUCCCAGGAAGUUCAUUUGGAAAUACAUCUGGAAAUUCUUUAAGUACUGUAAUAUCCUCCACUCUCAAUUCUCGAGCUUCUGUAUCUAUCACAUGAGCUAAAUAAGCUGAGCAUCCUUUUCUUAACAACCGUCUUGCACUAAUAGUAGAUAUAACACAUGAUGGUAGAACUUUGCGCUCCCUACAGAAUUUCACCUCAGCUUUCUUUGGCUUUUUAAACACAACGUCCUUUUUGAAACAAUCCACCGUAGUAUAAUGAGAUUCAAGCCAAUCCAUGCCUAAAAUAGCAUCAAAGUCAUAAAUAUCUAAGGAAAUCAAAUUUGCCUCAAAUUCAUGUUCACCCAUUUCAAUCAUACAAUCUCGAUACACACUCUCAGCAAGUAAUGACUCUCCGGUAGGUGUAUGAACAACUAAAUCACAAUCUAGCAGUUCGGGCUCUCGCCCUAUGUGCAUAACAAAAGUACGAGAAACAAAAGUGUGUGUGGAUCCAGGAUCAAUAAGAAUAUGAGCCUCGCGGCCAAGGAUAGAUAAUAUACCCAUAAUAACUUCUAGUGCAGCACGUGCUUCCUGCUGCGUCAAAGUAAAAACGCGAGCCUGAGUAUGAGGUCGACCAGGCUGACCUCUCAGACCUGGAGCAGUCGUCUGACUCCUAAAGGUAGAUGUAGAACCUCAUGUCUGCACUCCUUUCUGACCCUGAGUCUGGCCAGAGUAAGGCCGAUACCGUGAGGCUGUCCCUCCUGUAGAGCUAUCACCCUGAGAUAAAGUAGGGCAGAAUCUCCUGAUGUGUCCAGGUUGACCACACAAAUAACAAACUCUGUCUCCAACAUGACAUUGGCCCUGAUGAUUCCUACCACAUGAAGGGCAAGAAGUCUGCUGGAAACUCCUAGAACGAUCAUCACGAUAUCCCCCACCACUGCGGUCGUACUGUCCCUGAUUCCUGGUAUUACUCCCCACUAACGGUUGCACAGAGCUGUGACUGAUAGCCUGUCUCGAGUCUCCCCAAAAGCCUGUACGCUAACUCCUUUGCGUACUAUCAGAAUAACUCGUAGGAAUACCCCCUCUCUUGGGCGGCCUACUACUAGAGUCACCCUCUGCCCAGCUCUGGCUACGCUUCUGCUUCAGUGCAUGAAAUCUAUGUCCUUCUGAAAUACUGUGCUCUACUCUCCUGGCUGCCUCAACUACCUCACCAAACUCAGUAUAUCGUGAUGCAGUCACGGUGGUGCGAAUCUCAAAUCGGAGGCCAUCCUCGAACCGUCUGUAUCUCUCUCUCUCAUCACCGACUACAGAUGUAGCAAAUCUAGAGAGGUCUAAAAAUUUCCUCUCAUACUCCUCAACUGUCAGAGAUCCCUGAACCAACCGAAAGAAUUCACUCCGUUUAAUAUCCUGAUAUACAACAGGAAAAUAAUGAUCGUAGAAUUCCUUGCGGAAAAUAGCCCAAGUAAUCGCAGCAUGCCUCUGAUAUCGUCUCUCCACAGUCGGCCACCAAUGGUAAGCUCUAUCCUCGAGCAAGAAAGUGGCGAAGGAUAAUCUAUCAUCCUCUGAACAGUUCAUCACAUCAAAAAUACAUUCUAACUUAACAAACCAUGACUCAGCCUCAGGUGGUUCUCCAGAACCAUUAAAGCUCUUCGCCCCUAAACUCCUCACUCGCUCAAUAGUGUUUGCGGUACCGACAUGCGCUUGAGUAUGAUUUUGCACAACUGUAGUCAUGAUCUGAGCCAGCUUAUCAAAUGACUGCUCAAUAUUUGGGGCAUUCCCCGGUGCCUGUUGUGCAAUUUCAUGCGUAGAGGAUUCAACUAUCCCCUCAUUCGCGCGUUCACUUUCCCUCGCAGGUACACUACCAGAAGUCAACCCAGCUAUUGGUCUAGUACAGCCACGGCCACGUCUACUGCUAUGACGAAGCAUGAUGGUGCCUACAAGAUAUAAAUUCUCACUUUAAUAACAAUACAGCUUAUUCUUAUUAAGACAGUAAAGUCUACAGAAUCUAAAACCAUGCUCUGAUACCAACUGAAACGACCCGCCCCGAAUCCCCCUAGGCGAGUCUAUCUAGUCUCAUCAAAACAGACUUGAUAAUAAUUCUAUUCGUAAAGAUUCUGCCGAAAAUUCGGCAAAGUCUCCUUUAUAUAUAUAACACUCCCAAUCUACAAAUAUGAAUAUAACACUCCAAAUGCAAUUCAAUAUACAACAAACUCCAGUGCUCAACAUCCUCAACCAAAAUGCUGAGUUUCAUAUCUCCAGAGUCUCAAAAGAUAAUAUUAUAACUAAUAUUAAUAUAUCAAUUUAUUCUUAAUCCCAAAAGAAUAAUAUAUCAAAAUUAUACAAUCCCAAAAGAACAAGAUGACCAAGAUGUCCUAACACAAAAACAUCUAUAUCUUCUAACAUCAUCACGUGGCCAAAACUCAAAAUAUAUUUACAGUCGCUGGGUUGGUCUGGUGUACCUGCAACCUCCUGGUGAGGGGGGAAAAAUAUAAUAGAAAUGGGGUGAGUUUUAAACUCACUGAGAUCAGUGAGUGGAUAAUAGUUUUGAAAAUUAAUUCUUACUUUAAAAGAAAUAAUCAUAUCAUUUCCAAACACGAUUUCAUUAAACCGUAAGCGAAAAACCAGUAACAAAUCAUUAAACAUUGAAAUCAAAUUACUAACCAUGGACAUCAUAUCACAAUAUCAUAUAGAAUUCACAAAUCUGAAAAUCAUCACCAAACAAGUACUCAGGGAAAUAAUCUCGUCAUAUCCGGACCUCAACGGACAGGCAAUGACGUACUAUCUGGGUACCGCCACGCCCCGGAGCUACACGGAUAGACAGAGAAAUACCAUCUCAUAUCUCAUCAUAUCUGUGCAUGCAUAAUCUAGUCCCCAAAGGACAAAAGCGCCCAAGCACACGGCCCAAAGCCUCUGUGUGUACUCAGAUGGGCCCCAAAGGCCUGUAUCUCAUCUGUAUCAUCUGUAUCAUUUGUAUCUCAAUAUCUCUCUGUAUCUCAUAUCUGUAUCUCUGUAAUCAUCAUACCGCAUGCAUAUGCCUCCAAAAGGCAAAAACGCCCAAACACACGGCCCAAAGCCUCUAUGUGUGUUUAGACGGGCCCCAAAGGCCUCUCAUCUCAUUUGUAUCACAUGUAUCUGGAGGGAAGGGUAUUGUCUAAUGAUUUCAAAAACAAUCAUUAUACUCAUAUUCACAUACCUCUUAACCAUAUGUUUAAAUCAUACCACAUUUGAAUCCACUUUUCUUAUCUUUAAAAUACUAUCAUGCUCAUUCAAAGUCAAUACGCAAAAUCAUUAAUCAAACAUUUUAAUAAAAUACCAAUGCGUGAAUAAAAUCUAGUUCGAGGAAAUCAUUAAAUCAGAACAUUUAAAAUACUUAUUUUGCAAACAUGUUUUACUAUCAUAAUUAACUAUGAAAAUAGGUUUUGUAUAUUCCACUCACAGUGACAGUGUUCACGGUCGGUUAUCGUCCACGUCCGCGGACUGGUUCUCGCUCGCGGAUCCUCCUAAAAUAAGGAAACGACAUAAUUAUUUUCCGUAAAUCGGAAUUAUGACUAAAUUUUAUGCAAUAAACUCGAACCGAAUAUCUAUCCAUAAUUGACAACUCCCGUAUCUAUAAAAUUACUAAAAUGCCCUUGAGUCAGUAGAUCAUUAACAUGCUCCGAAAUCGUAAAUCACUGAAUUACCCUCGAAAUCGUAAUUACACCCAAUCCUCAAUUCUAGGAAUUACUAACAUAUCCACAGGCUCAGAAAUUACAAAAUUGCCCUCAUAGUGUGAAAUUACCAAAAUGCCCUUGCCGGUCAACGGUCACCGGAAUUUGGUCAACGCUGGCUAGGAAGCUCAAAUCUGAAAGUUCCAAUCAUGUUGAGUUCAAUGGUACCGGCGGUGAGCUCCAACACGUGGCAACGACGCCGAAAUCUAGCUCGGCAGCCGUGAAUUCCAACAAUCGACCUGCGGCAACACAGUGACUCUCGGUGCCUAUGGAUGGUCGGAAAUGGAAGAGGGAGUCAUGAGGAGCAAAAUCCAAUCGGUGGUGUCACUCAAAACCGGCGAAAAUCCCGGCGAAGCAAAGUGAAAUAGUCGCGGGUUUCAAGCUUCGAUCGCCGGCGUUUCGGUUGGUUUUCGGCGGCGAGGAUGGCAGGGGAACAACGGUCGGCUUCUAAGCUUCAGAUUGGUACCAAGCUCGGCCGAAACGGUGGCCGGAAAUGGGAGUUAUGGCCGGGUCAAGGACGCGGGUUCCGGGUCGGGUUUCCGGGUCGGGUUGACGGCUUCUCUCUCUCACUCUCUCACUCUCUCACACACGUGUGGCUUCUGUUUUUUUGCUCUGUUUUUUCUAGCU